UUUAGGGGGUUUCGGAGAAUCUCAGGUGCGUUACAUAGGGUCCGAGUGGGUUUUAGGGCGAUUUCAGAGGCAUUUCAAGAAGUUUCAGAGCAUUUCCGGCAAGAUUCAGAGGCAUUACGGAAGCGUUACAGAGGAGUUUUCGGGGGUUUCGGACCGUCUGAAGUGCGUUACAUAGGGUCCGAGGGGACUCAGAGGCAUUUCAGGAAGUUUCAGAGCAUUUUCGGCAGGAUUCAAAGGCGUUACGGAAGAGUUUUCGGGGGUUUCGGAGCCACUCAGGUGCGUUAUAUGGGGUCCAAGGGGUUUUAGAGGCAUUUCAGGAAAUUUCAGAACGUUUUCGGUGGGAUACAGAGGAUGAGUUUUCGGGGGUUUCAGAGCCUCUUAGAUGCGUGGCAUUGUAUUAUAGUGUAUUAUUGUACUUGCCUCACAAUAUACAAAUUCAUGCAAUGGCAGGCAAAGAAAGCCCUUCAAUUAAUAACUGUGAAAGUGCUCAAGAACACUAAGUUGAAGCGAAGCAGGCCAAGUCCCAGUGGGGACGUAGAGCCAUAAAAGAAGAAGUAGAUGGGUGGCAUGGCGUUUAAGGGGAAUUUAAGAAGAAGCAUUUGAGGAAGUUUCAGAGCAUUUUCGGCGGGAUUUAGAGGUGUUAUGGAAGCGUUACGGAGGAGUUUUCGAAGGUUUCGGAGCCUCUCAGGUGCGUUACAUGGGGUCCGAGGGGGUUGAAGGGGGAUUUUAGAGGCAUUUCACCAAGUUUCAGAGCAUAUUAGGCGGGAUUCAGAGGCGUUACGGAAGCGUUAAGGAUGAGUUUUCGGGAGUUCACGAUUCCUACUCCUACUAGUGUUUCUCCUUUUUUUUCAUCAAAAAUCGAGAUACUGAAAAUCGAAACCUCACGAAACUUACCCUUCUGCUGCAACACACUUUUUAAUCCACGAUGCUGCACAAAAAAAACACAAAUCUUAUCUUUCCCCACGCAAAACUUUUCCGUUCAAACAAUGAAAAUUCAAACAAUUCACAAUUUUCACAUUUCUCCAUACUGUUUUAUUCACAAUUCCCCCAACAAACUCCUUUCCCCCAACAAUACAUCCCGUCCAUCAUACAAUUACAUCCGUCCGCUUCAAGAUCCGUUCACAAACUGCCGAGUGCCGCUUCGCGUCCAUCUGCUCAUUCAUUCGCUUUUCGUUCAUCCUCCUUCUCUUUCUCUGCAUCGAGCCGCCAACGCAGCGCUGGUGGGCUUUUCGAACACUCUGCGCUAUCGUGUACUCCGAAUUCCAAUGCUCGUGUUCGAAAGGUCAAUAGAGCUGUGCAACCUCCUCCGUAGGUACACUCAAAUAAAUAAGAGUGCGUAAAUCAUGUACAUUUGAAUUAAAUAUCAACAUUAUCAGGUCCAUAUCACUACAGAGUCAUGACUUCGAGUCUCACCGAGAGGACGAGUAACUUUUUCGCAAAUUCCACUCCAAUUUGUCCAUAUUUCUCAUUCACGCCAGUAUUUGUAAAGUCUAGCUUUUGGUAUUAUUCACAUCUGAAACGAGACUCGCGAAGACGGUCUUCUUUUCCUCCACUUUGUUAUUUUUUCUUCUUCCUAUCUGUGUUGACAUUAUGUUUUGGGCUGGUGGUUCAAACACGUACGUGACCGCAUCACCUCACAUGCAGUGUGACUGAAUCCCAUUCACGCACAAAAUCAUGUUGAGGUGAAAUUUUGCAUCGCCAACAAUCGCCAAGUGCCGGGGCCCGUGGCGUAGUUGGUCACACGUUCGCUUUAUAUGCGGAUGGUCAUGGGUUUGAUUCCCAGCCCCGGCACUUGCAAUUUUUCGUCAGUUGCUUUUCCCCCGAGAGCAACUGACACUGACCCUCUUCUGAGCCCCAUGGCUCAAACGGACCCGGAUACCUGGACAUCGGCGAGCUGCUACUCAUAAUGGACCCCCAAUCGGACUGGAAAAGAACAACGGCCAUCCAUCAUCAUCCUUGUGCUCAUCAUUCUACUAGGUAUAAAGUAGAAAAAGUGAAAGCAGCAGAAAGGCAACCAGUUCGAUAAAGUAGAAUAGAAUCUAGGCGCUGUACAAAAAUGUAAGUGCAGCUGUCAAUUGAAAUUGCUCACGUAGUGCCCCAGUGGACAAUAGAGCUGUAAAUUAGGUUAAGUGAUUAAGAAUAAAAAAAAAAACAAUCGCCAAGCAAAGUAAUCAUUGGAAUAUUUUGUUUUCAAUUUAUUUUUGACAGUACAGGAGAAGAAAAUGCUGCUCGGAGUGAAUUUUGGCUUCAGAAUUUAUCUCGGAUAGCAAUAUUUUCCUCGUUUUAGGUAACGUAAUCAAACGGGCUACAACUGACAGCUCAGUUGGGCUGCACUUGACAUUGCUUUUUUUCCUCUUCGCGAGUCUCGUCUCAGAUUCACAUCUAGCGUGACGAAUGCUCAAUAGCGAAUUCCCCUUUGCUUCUUUUGGAUGGAUCUAUGACAUUUGGUUGAAAGACAUUUGCUCGAAUGACGUUUGGUCGAAUGACGUUUGAUCGAAAGUCGAAGCACAUUUUGUAGAAGAGGAAACAUAUGACAUUUAGUCGAAUGGGUAUCUGGCACUGCCAGCAUGGUACCCUGGUACCAGCGAAACUGAAAUGGUGGUAUCGCCGCAAAGUUCGAUUCUUUUCGUAUGGAAGUGAGCGUAGAGGACACUGGAGAAAAAUGUUUCCGCUCACUCACCAAUAUCGACGGCCUAACAGAGCAAAUAACUAAAACCAUACGAAAAGAAUAUCCCAAUAUACACAUAGCACACAAGCAGGCAAAAACAGUUGGCUCCAUUCUACCCAUGGUGAAAGACAGAAUCAGCCAAGGGGAAAAGAGCAAUGUAGUGUACAGGAUAGACUGCGCAGACUGUGAUGCAUGUUAUAUUGGUAUGACAACAACAAAACUGAAGAGCAGGCUCUCUGGCCAUCGAUCAAACGUGAGGAAGCUGCAAAAGCUGAGAGAGGAGGGACACACAAACAGGGACGUUGCAAUAGCAGAAAUCAGAGAGAAGACAACAUUAGUUAACCACGCAGCAGCAAUGGAACACUCGUUUAAGUUAGAUGAAGUAGUAAUAGUAGACAAGACACACAAAUCAACCAACCUCCAAUUCCUAGAGAGUUGUCACAUAUACAACACUGAAAAAACAGUAAACAAACGAUCGGACACAGAAAAUCUACACGAAACCUAUGCAGGAAUACUACACACAUUUAAAAAUGCUCAAAAUAGAAUCAAAACAAAUCACACCAAUAGACCUAACACAAACAGACCAUAGACCAUAAUAUUAUUGACACACUUCCAAACUAGAUAAUUCAUCCAAAGUUGACCCUACUAAAUUAAUGCUUUCCGUAAUGCUACCACCCCCAAACAAAUUGUAAGUACACUUAAAAAAUAUUUCACACAAAUCACACCAUAAUCUUUGUAAAAUAUCCACAACAGACUCUAGCAAUAUUGACAUUUCAACGUUUAACAAAUCCGACUAGACAAAAAAACGAUACAAAUUGAGUCCCUGAAGAAGCUUCCAUACGAAGCGAAACGUUGGAUGAAAAUUUAA
Molecule: long non-coding RNA, 3536 nt
Organism: Aedes albopictus (Asian tiger mosquito)
Lineage: Eukaryota; Metazoa; Arthropoda; Insecta; Diptera; Culicidae
Exons: 2
Source: RefSeq, a predicted model, not a curated record